This is a long non-coding RNA of Anguilla anguilla (European eel), 434 nucleotides long. RefSeq lists it as uncharacterized. The record is from RefSeq and is a predicted model, not a curated record. The transcript has 2 exons. NCBI's taxonomy places the organism in Eukaryota, Metazoa, Chordata, Actinopteri, Anguilliformes, Anguillidae.
GCAUGUUUCUCUUUUCUCUUUUCCUGCUUCAUUCAGCCAGAGUUUCAAUUGCUGAAUGUUGAAGGCAGGGUUCAAUGGCCAACCAAUCAAAUGUAAAGGUGUGUUGAGCAUUAGCCAAUAAGAAGGGAAAGGACGCGUGAUCACCGGGUGAUGUGCAGCGUGCAAUCAAUAUGAAAACAGCGUGGUACACAACUGCCUUGGCAUGUAAAACCGAUGAGGAUUCUGGGAUGGGUGAGUGACGGCGAUUUUGGAAUGGUGCCCCGAUGGGCCACUGGAUGAGAGACAGGAAGGCCAGACACAUUCCCCUCUGGAAGGUCCACUGAGGACGCUGCCCUGUUAUAUUGAUCCGAUAAACUGCAGUUGUCUCGCCAUUCUUCUAUGCUUGGUAUAUUGGAACAGCUCCAUAAUAAACAGACAGCGCCCCUAUGCCUUAA